CAACGAACAGAUUCGUUUUUCAUGAUAUAUAGAUAUAUAUAUAUAAAUAAUAUAUUCAUUUUUUACAGUAGUAAAUUUGUAAUUUUUUGAAAAUUAUAAUCAUUGUAAUUAUUUUUAUCGAUUUGUAAACGGUAUUUGUCUAAAGAAAUUAGAAUGUAUUUGUUUUAAAAAUAAUAGUUUAAAAAAUAAAUUACCGCUUUCCGUAAUAUCUGUACGAAUAUCUAUACUCGUAGGUACUUGUGUGUGGUGUUUGAAGUCUGAAAUAUAUUCAACAAUAUUCAAUAAAAUCACCUGAAUGUGGAAUAUUGGAUUUUGAUUGAUUAUUUCACAAUUUAAUCCUUCCGCCUUAAAAAUUUAAGGUUCUCGCUAAUUUAGAAGAUAAUUAGAUGAUAAUAUUGUCUUUUUUUUACUUACAAUUACAAUCACACAUUCAAGCGAUUUAACUAGUACGUAAAUAAGUUAAUAUAUAUAUAUAUAAAAAUAUUAUUUAUAUGAAAU
Cinara cedri is the source of this 498-nucleotide non-coding RNA. The record is from the annotation of a GenBank genome assembly. NCBI's taxonomy places the organism in Eukaryota, Metazoa, Arthropoda, Insecta, Hemiptera, Aphididae.